Molecule: ribosomal RNA, 558 nt
Filed under: Turbo radiatus
Lineage: Eukaryota; Metazoa; Mollusca; Gastropoda; Trochida; Turbinidae
Description: partial 16S ribosomal RNA
Rfam family: Bacterial large subunit ribosomal RNA
Source: RNAcentral
CGCUCUUUGAAAUUAUUAACCAUAACUAUAUAUAAAGAGUCGGACCUGCCCAGUGACAUUUAUGUUAAACGGCCGCGGUACUCUGACCGUGCAAAGGUAGCAUAAUCAUUUGCCUUUUAAUUGGAGGCUUGUAUGAAUGGUUUGACGAGAACUAAGCUGUCUCUUCUUAAAUAUAUAAAAAUUAAUUUUUAGGUGAAGAAGCCUGUAUUUAAUUGAGGGACAAGAAGACCCCGUUGAGCUUUAGUGAUUUAAUAAAAAUCUAUAUUAAGCUAAGGUUUAAAGUUUCAUUUAUCUGAAAAUAUUUUUUAUUAAAAAUCUUUAGUUGGGGCGACUGAGGAAUACCAAUAGCUUCCUUUAAAAAUAGAAAUUUAAAGACAUCGAUCUAUUAUUUAAGAUCCAGUAUUUACUGAUCAAAGGAAAAAGUUACCACGGGGAUAACAGCGUAAUUUUUCUAAAGAGUUCUUAUCGAAGGAAAAGUUUGCGACCUCGAUGUUGGAUUAAGAUAUCCUGGAGAUGCAGAAGUUUCCAAUGGUUAGUCUGUUCGACUAUUAAAAUCUU